RNAcentral lists this ribosomal RNA (1226 nucleotides) under uncultured fungus. RNAcentral's name for it is "eukaryotic LSU rRNA". The stretch from base 593 to 1226 matches the Rfam family "Eukaryotic large subunit ribosomal RNA", at positions 1 to 649 of the family's 3401-position model. The record is from RNAcentral. Lineage: Eukaryota; Fungi.
AGUCGUAACAAGGUUUCCGUAGGUGAACCUGCGGAAGGAUCAUUAAUAGAGCAAAGGACAGGCAGCGCCCCACAGAAGCUUGCUUCGUGGCGGGCUACCCUACUCUGGUAGGGUUUAGAGCCGGCGGACCACUCGGAGAAGUUCGGUCCUGAACUCCACCCUUGAAUAAAUUACCUUUGUUGCUUUGGCAGGCCGCCUAGUGCCAGCGGCUUCGGCUGUUGAGUGCCUGCCAGAGAACCACAAAUCUUGUUUUUAGUGAUGUCUGAGUACUAUAUAAUAGUUAAAACUUUCAACAACGGAUCUCUUGGUUCUGGCAUCGAUGAAGAACGCAGCGAAAUGCGAUAAGUAAUGUGAAUUGCAGAAUUCAGUGAAUCAUCGAAUCUUUGAACGCACAUUGCGCCCUCUGGUAUUCCGGGGGGCAUGCCUGUUCGAGCGUCAUUAUAACCACUCAAGCUCUCGCUUGGUAUUGGGGUUCGCGGUCUCGCGGCCCCUAAAAUCAGUGGCGGUGCCUGUCGGCUCUACGCGUAGUAAUACUCCUCGCGAUUGAGUCCGGUAGUUCUACUUGCCAGUAACCCCCAAACUUUUUAUAGGUUGACCUCGGAUCAGGUAGGGAUACCCGCUGAACUUAAGCAUAUCGAUAAGCGGAGGAAAAGAAACCAACAGGGAUUACCUCAGUAACGGCGAGUGAAGCGGUAACAGCUCAAAUUUGAAAGCUAGCUCUUUUAGGGUUCGCAUUGUAAUUUGUAGAAGAUGCUUCGGGUGUGGCCCCGGUCUAAGUUCCUUGGAACAGGACGUCAUAGAGGGUGAGAAUCCCGUAUGUGACUGGGUGCUUUCGCUCAUGUGAAGCUCUUUCGACGAGUCGAGUUGUUUGGGAAUGCAGCUCAAAAUGGGUGGUAAAUUUCAUCUAAAGCUAAAUAUUGGCCAGAGACCGAUAGCGCACAAGUAGAGUGAUCGAAAGAUGAAAAGCACUUUGGAAAGAGAGUUAAACAGUACGUGAAAUUGUUGAAAGGGAAGCGCUUGCAACCAGACUUGCGCGCUGAUGAUCAUCCGGGCUUCUGCCCGGUGCACUCGUCUGCGCUCAGGCCAGCAUCGGUUUCGGUGGUGGGAUAAAGGCCUUGGGAAUGUGGCUCCUCUCGGGGAGUGUUAUAGCCCUCGGUGCAAUGCCGCCUACUGGGACCGAGGACCGCGCUUCGGCUAGGAUGCUGGCGUAAUGGUUGUAAGCGACC